GAUGAACGCUGGCGGCGUGCCUAAUACAUGCAAGUCGAGCGAAUGGAUUAAGAGCUUGCUCUUAUGAAGUUAGCGGCGGACGGGUGAGUAACACGUGGGUAACCUGCCCAUAAGACUGGGAUAACUCCGGGAAACCGGGGCUAAUACCGGAUAACAUUUUGAACCGCAUGGUUCGAAAUUGAAAGGCGGCUUCGGCUGUCACUUAUGGAUGGACCCGCGUCGCAUUAGCUAGUUGGUGAGGUAACGGCUCACCAAGGCAACGAUGCGUAGCCGACCUGAGAGGAUGGUCGGCCAAACGGGGAAUGAGACACGGCCCAGACGCCUACGGGAGGAAGCAGUAGGGAAUCUUCCGCAAUGAUAGAAAGUCUGAAGGAGCAACGCCGCGUGAGUGAUGAAGGCUUUCGGGUCGUAAAACUCUGUUGUUAGGGAAGAACAAGUGCUAGUUGAAUAAGCUGGCACCUUGACGGUACCUAACCAGAAAGCCACGGCUAACUACGUGCCAGCCGCCGCGGUAA
Molecule: ribosomal RNA, 515 nt
Filed under: uncultured bacterium
Lineage: Bacteria
Description: partial 16S ribosomal RNA
Rfam family: Bacterial small subunit ribosomal RNA
Source: RNAcentral